UGUAUGUUUGGGGUGAAAUAUGACAUUUGUCUGUGAGAUUCUCUCGUGCUCGUGUGUGUGGCAUUGUAGAUAUAACAUCACGGAUGAGCGAAACGCAGCUGUUUUUUACACACGAAGCUGCUUUAAUCCCAGAAUUCCUUCAGCUGAUGUCAGACCUACAGAUGUAAAGCACACGGUACAGACGGCUCUAAACCAGUUUAGCAGAGCUGUGUGUGACGAGUGUAGCGUGUAGCAGACGCCGCGUGUGUGUGAAUGUAGCGUGAUCUGGUGCUCGGUGUCGUGUACUUCCUGUUCUCUCCACAUCUCUUCGCUAUUUCACUGUGUGUUCAUGCUGACGCUGUAGGUUUUCUCGUCCCGUCUGUCUCUGAAUGUGUAACGGCAGCCAAUCACGCGUGUCUCCUGUAAACCACAUGAUGCUGUGCUCAUUCAUAAAUGUAUCUUGUAAAACAUGAUAGACGCAUCCGAACUGACUUUUCUCUAAUAAACAUCCUGUUUGAACUGCUUCUGUGACCUUUGACCUUUUUUUUACUAUUCCACUGUCACAUAGCUCCUUCCACUGUUACCACGGUUACCGUGGAACCUGUUUAUAACUGGCUGUGUCUGUCUGUCUUGUUGCCUAGGCAACAGCUGCCCUGAGUUCCACCCAGCCGGACAGAUUAAAGAGAUUCAAAGGCACGGUGGGCGGGGCAAGUGCAGCAGAGGCCCCGCCCCCUCUCCUUCCCCCCAGCAGAGGACGGCGCUGCUGUCACAGGAGCCGCUGCGGGAAUCUCUGGACAUCUUGACGUCUGUCGAGUACAGCAGAUGUGAGCUGCAGCCUCGGCCCAGCCGGAUCCCGGUGCGGAGAGAGCCUCCUCUGACCGAGACGCCCAGCCUGAGAGUGUGGAAACUCAUCAAACCCGGCGUCGAGACACACCCGGCGGGUCAGAGUCGCUCUUAACCCUAUAGAGCCUGGGUCAUAUCUGAUGCACACAUUCCAAGCCUCGGAGUGAUCAAAAUGUGUUUUAAUUUCAGUGUAAUUGUAGAA
Molecule: long non-coding RNA, 1024 nt
Organism: Sinocyclocheilus rhinocerous
Lineage: Eukaryota; Metazoa; Chordata; Actinopteri; Cypriniformes; Cyprinidae
Exons: 3
Source: RefSeq, a predicted model, not a curated record